CGCUAGCUACAGGCUUAACACAUGCAAGUCGAGGGGCAGCAUUGGGAUAGCUUGCUAUUCAGAUGGCGACCGGCGCACGGGUGAGUAACGCGUAUCCAACCUUCCUGCCAGUAGGGAACAGCCCGGCGAAAGUCGGAUUAAUGCCCUAUGUUCUUCAAUGCGGACAUCUAAGUUGAAGGAAAGAUUCAUCGCUGGCAGAUGGGGAUGCGUCCGAUUAGCUUGCCGGCGGGGUAACGGCCCACCGGGGCGACGAUCGGUAGGGGUUCUGAGAGGAAGGUCCCCCCACACUGGUACUGAGACACGGACCAGACUCCUACGGGAGGCAGCAGUGAGGAAUAUUGGUCAAUGGGCGUAAGCCUGAACCAGCCAAGUAGCGUUGCAGGACGACGGCCCUACGGGUUGUAAACUGCUUUUAUGCGGGGAUAAAGUGCGGCACGUGUGCCGCUUUGCAGGUACCGCAUGAAUAAGGACCGGCUAAUUCCGUGCCAGCCGCCGC
This 496-nucleotide ribosomal RNA is filed under the name uncultured bacterium. RNAcentral's name for it is "bacterial SSU rRNA". It matches the Rfam family "Bacterial small subunit ribosomal RNA", at positions 34 to 518 of the family's 1533-position model. The record is from RNAcentral.